UACAGAGGGGGCAAGCGUUGUUCGGAAUUACUGGGCGUAAAGGGCGCGUAGGCGGCCCGCUAAGUCGAACGUGAAAUCCCCAGGCUCAACCUGGGAACUGCGUCUGAUACUGGAUGGCUUGAAUCCGGGAGAGGGAUGCAGAAUUCCAGGUGUAGCGGUGAAAUGCGUAGAUAUCUGGAGGAAUACCGGUGGCGAAGGCGGCAUCCUGGACCGGCAUUGACGCUGAGGAGCGAAAGCCAGGGGAGCAAACGGG
RNAcentral lists this ribosomal RNA (253 nucleotides) under uncultured bacterium. Its description in RNAcentral is "partial 16S ribosomal RNA". It matches the Rfam family "Bacterial small subunit ribosomal RNA", at positions 524 to 776 of the family's 1533-position model. The record is from RNAcentral.